This 216-nucleotide long non-coding RNA is filed under the name Manihot esculenta (cassava). Its description in RNAcentral is "long non-coding RNA (MESC_LNC006415)". Lineage: Eukaryota; Viridiplantae; Streptophyta; Magnoliopsida; Malpighiales; Euphorbiaceae. The record is from RNAcentral.
CCAACUCUCUCAGUGUUCUUUCUCUUAGUAUUGGUGCCCUCAUGGCUGGAUUUUCUGGUUUAAUAUCAGCAUAUACAGUAGGUCCAGCUGGUCUUUGAAUAGGGGCAGCAGGUUGCACGUGAAAUUCAGCCAUCUCAGCGGCUGUUUGGACAAUUUCUGCAGCUGUGUUUGCAAGGGCUGGUUCUGCAGAUUCUGGUUCUGUUAAGGUAAUUUUUG